GAGACAGCAGCAGCCACGGUAAUACGUAGGUGGCAAGCGUUGUCCGGAAUUAUUGGGCGUAAAGCGCGCGCAGGCGGCCUAUCCAGUCUGUCUUAAAAGUUCGGGGCUCAACCCCGUGAUGGGAUGGAAACUAGUAGGCUAGAGUAUCGGAGAGAAAAGCGGAAUUCCUAGUGUAGCGGUGAAAUGCGUAGAUAUUAGGAAGAACACCAGUGGCGAAGGCGGCUUUCUGGACGAAAACUGACGCUGAGGCGCGAAAGCCAGGGGAGCGAACGGGAUUAGAUACCCCCGUAGUCCCUGUCUCUUAUACA
This 308-nucleotide ribosomal RNA is filed under the name uncultured bacterium. RNAcentral's name for it is "partial 16S ribosomal RNA". It matches the Rfam family "Bacterial small subunit ribosomal RNA", at positions 505 to 809 of the family's 1533-position model. The record is from RNAcentral.